Molecule: ribosomal RNA, 423 nt
Filed under: uncultured bacterium
Lineage: Bacteria
Description: bacterial SSU rRNA
Rfam family: Bacterial small subunit ribosomal RNA
Source: RNAcentral
AAGACCUUGCACUUUUGGAGCGGCCGAUGUCUGAUUAGCUAGUUGGUGGGGUAAUGGCCUACCAAAGCUUCGAUCAGUAGCUGGUCUGAGAGGACGGCCAGCCACACUGGGACUGAGACACGGCCCAGACUCCUACGGGAGGCAGCAGUGGGGAAUUUUGGACAAUGGGCGCAAGCCUGAUCCAGCCAUGCCGCGUGAGUGAAGAAGGCCUUCGGGUUGUAAAGCUCUUUCAGCCGGGAAGAAAAGGUUGCGACUAAUAAUCGCAAUCCAUGACGGUACCGAAAGAAGAAGCACCGGCUAACUACGUGCCAGCAGCCGCGGUAAUACGUAGGGUGCGAGCGUUAAUCGGAAUUACUGGGCGUAAAGAGUGCGCAGGCGGUUUUGUAAGUCAGAUGUGAAAUCCCCGGGCUUAACCUGGGAACU